This 363-nucleotide ribosomal RNA is filed under the name Triticum aestivum (bread wheat). RNAcentral describes it as "partial small subunit ribosomal RNA". The record is from RNAcentral. Lineage: Eukaryota; Viridiplantae; Streptophyta; Magnoliopsida; Poales; Poaceae.
AUGGAGUACCCAUUACUAAGCCACCAGCAAACUGAAAAUAGCAUGUGCGGUAUGUCCGCUAACCAGAAAGUUGCAAGUAUGGGGAAGCAAUCUUCACCUGAUGAUCCCGACAUGACUGCCCUUUCAGUUGAGCAAAAUAUGUCAGUCGGGCAGAGUGAUGGAGACACUAGUAGUGACAUAGUGGAUGAAGGGCUCUCUGCACCUGUGGAAGCCACUGGCAAUGCAGACUCUGCUGAACAAAACAAUCUGGUUGAAGAUAAUAGCCCUGAGAUUCGUGGCAGUCAUGACCUGUCACGCCCAAUAUGCGGCUAUACUCCAUACGUGUCGAGGCACGACUUGGGGCAUAAGCGCAUAUUGGUAUGA